CAAGUCGAACGGCAGCAUGGAAGAGCUUGCUCUUCUGAUGGCGAGUGGCGAACGGGUGAGUAAAGCAUCGGAACGUACCGUGUAGUGGGGGAUAACGUAGCGAAAGUUACGCUAAUACCGCAUACGCACUGAGGUGGAAAGCAGGGGAUCGCAAGACCUUGCGCUAUACGAGCGGCCGAUGUCAGAUUAGCUAGUUGGUAGGGUAAAGGCCUACCAAGGCGACGAUCUGUAGCGGGUCUGAGAGGAUGAUCCGCCACACUGGGACUGAGACACGGCCCAGACUCCUACGGGAGGCAGCAGUGGGGAAUUUUGGACAAUGGGCGAAAGCCUGAUCCAGCCAUGCCGCGUGAGUGAAGAAGGCCUUCGGGUUGUAAAGCUCUUUCGGCUGGGAAGAAAUCGCACAGGCUAAUACUCUGUGUGGAUGACGGUACCAGCACAAGAAGCACCGGCUAACUACGUGCCAGCAGCCGCGGUAAUACGUAGGGUGCGAGCGUUAAUCGGAAUUACUGGGCGUAAAGCGUGCGCAGGCGGUUGUGCAAGACAGAUGUGAAAUCCCCGGGCUCAACCUGGGAACUGCAUUUGUGACUGCACGACUAGAGUACGGCAGAGGGGGGUAGAAUUCCACGUGUAGCAGUGAAAUGCGUAGAGAUGUGGAGGAAUACCGAUGGCGAAGGCAGCCCCCUGGGCCGAUACUGACGCUCAUGCACGAAAGUGUGGGGAGCAAACAGGAUUAGAUACCCUGCUAGUCCACGCCCUAAACGAUGUCAACUAGUUGUUGGUAGGGUUAAACCUAUUAGUAACGUAGCUAACGCGUGAAGUUGACCGCCUGGGGAGUACGGUCGCAAGAUUAAAACUCAAAGGAAUUGACGG
RNAcentral lists this ribosomal RNA (870 nucleotides) under uncultured bacterium. RNAcentral's name for it is "bacterial SSU rRNA". It matches the Rfam family "Bacterial small subunit ribosomal RNA", at positions 58 to 916 of the family's 1533-position model. The record is from RNAcentral.